GGGUGGAUUCCCGAGUGGCCAAAGGGGACAGACUGUAAAUCUGCUGCGUUUCGCUUCGGUGGUUCGAAUCCACCUCCGCCCA
This 82-nucleotide transfer RNA is filed under the name Clostridium sp. chh4-2. It matches the Rfam family "tRNA". Rfam says of the family: Transfer RNA (tRNA) molecules are approximately 80 nucleotides in length. The record is from Rfam by way of RNAcentral. Lineage: Bacteria; Bacillati; Bacillota; Clostridia; Eubacteriales; Clostridiaceae.